GUCAAUAUUUUACAGUUAAGCAAACAUGAAAGUAUUUCAAAUAGCAUUUGUUGUGGCCUGCAUUAUUGCUGCCGUCUCCUGUAAUCCCGGCAAUAAUGGUAUACAUGGUGGUGGUAAUUCCGGUAAUAAACAGAGCAAUUUUGACAUUAAAGGAAGUUUAUUCAAAUAAACGUUAACUGAUUCUGAGGACCGUCUUACAAGACUUAAAUUUUGUUAAUGUGUUUUCUUAUAUUUUAAACUAAAUGAAAUGCCAGUAGAGCUUCAUUAUAACGAAACAUUACAAAAUUGGGUCUUAUUCCUCCAACUGUAAUAAUUGUAUUCAAAAUUAAUAUGAAAUAAAGUGCAAAUAUAUUCAGUUAA
This is a long non-coding RNA of Lucilia sericata (common green bottle fly), 360 nucleotides long. RefSeq lists it as uncharacterized. The record is from RefSeq and is a predicted model, not a curated record. The transcript has 2 exons. Lineage: Eukaryota; Metazoa; Arthropoda; Insecta; Diptera; Calliphoridae.